Microcebus murinus (gray mouse lemur) is the source of this 108-nucleotide unclassified non-coding RNA. It matches the Rfam family "Y RNA". Rfam says of the family: Y RNAs are components of the Ro ribonucleoprotein particle (Ro RNP), in association with Ro60 and La proteins. Lineage: Eukaryota; Metazoa; Chordata; Mammalia; Primates; Cheirogaleidae. The record is from Ensembl.
GGUUGGUUUGAAGGUAGUUAUCUCAGUUGAUUGUUCACAAACAGUUAUAGAUAGAAUUCCUUGUUCUACUCUUUCCCCUCUUCUCACUAUUGCACUUGACUAGUAAAA